Molecule: non-coding RNA, 78 nt
Organism: Ceratotherium simum simum (southern white rhinoceros)
Lineage: Eukaryota; Metazoa; Chordata; Mammalia; Perissodactyla; Rhinocerotidae
Source: RefSeq, a predicted model, not a curated record
GAAAUGACUUGAUUUUUGUAUGUUGAUCUUGUAUCCUGCAUUCUUGUUAAAUUUGCUUAUUAAUAAAGUGCAGUAGCU